Molecule: long non-coding RNA, 1221 nt
Organism: Gymnodraco acuticeps
Lineage: Eukaryota; Metazoa; Chordata; Actinopteri; Perciformes; Bathydraconidae
Exons: 2
Source: RefSeq, a predicted model, not a curated record
UGUUUGCAGUGAAAUAGGAAAUGAAGGAGAAGCACAAUGCAAAAGAGAGAACCAAUAAGAGAGAGAGAGAGAAGUAGCAGCAGUACGGAGGGUUUACGGAGAAAGAAACUUGAGACAGUAACAUUACCUGUUACGCAACUGACAAGUCCAGACAGAGUCAAGAAAACAAAAAUAAGAGGAGCAAUGGGCAGGAGCCAGGAGAGGAACGAUGGGGGUUUGAAGAAGAAGAAAAGGAGAGAACACAAGUUAAGAUAGUAGAGUGAUUAGAUACUGUGACAAAAUAUGCAAAGAAAUGAAGCGUGGACCCAGAGUCAGGACGUUUCAGUUGGAAAAGAGCAGAAGAAAAGCCUAGGAUGUGACGGUAAACCAUCUUCAUGAUAGAGGGACAGAAUGAGGAGAUACAGGGAGCAAACUUGCACGUGCACAACGUGGUGUGGAGAUGGCUGAACUCACUGGAGCGGAGGAGAUGGACGGGAGCCGACGCAGAGUCAACAGAGCCAUGGCACAGUCUUCUCUCCUUUCAACCUGCGGUGGCUUGCAGGCUCAGACAGGCUCUGCAGGUUCCUCGGCCAAAAGUGUGCAGUGGGCAGUGGGCGUGGCGAAGGUGGUAUUUGAUCCUGAAAUAACAUGUGGAUAUUUGAUCGGCUUCAUACCAGAGACUCCUCAAGAAGAAUUGAAGGAUUUUAGUUGUCUGCUUCAGGAACUCCUGAGAAAUAGAUGAAUUGGGGUUUCCAAUUUGUACUACUGCAUUUUGAAAUCUCUAUGGAAUUGUUCUCGGGGCAAACAUUUUAUAAAAUCUGUCAAAUUGUUGUUGAUAUAUUUUGUCUUUAAUAGUUCUACUGUUUUUUUAUAUACUUAUUAUAUUUUAGGGGGGAAAAAGGUAGUCCCAUGUGCCCAAAAACUCAAUAUAGUAUAGAAAAAUGGCGGCAUCUCAGAAACCACAAAGAGAACAUUAAAGUUUCUAUGAAGUCAUAACAGAUUGAAUAUCAGGGAUAUGGUUAUAUUUGUCAAGUGCAAUAACUAUUUUACAUGGAAGACAAUUCAUAGACACACUGUUAGUGUUUGACUAUCACAAAUGUAAUUGAUUUUUUAUGUGAUCUAAAAACUUCAAAACGUUAUACCAACCAGAACAAGUGUUUCAUUUGUAUUCUAAAUAUAGCCAUUGCCACACCAGUAGAGGUAGGGUUAGGCGAUGUGAGAAUAAAGCAUGGGAUAAUCUUA